UUAAGAAUACAAAACAAUAACAAUAUAAUAUCAUUCCCUUUCUUUCCCCCUUUUUUUUCAGCAACCACGGCAACAGCUUCAACGGAUGCGACCGAACCAGGCACCAUCUCGAAACAGGCAUCUUCAAUCAGGCACCAGGAGGAGGGCAGCCAUCUCACCGGACGCAGUCAUCUCAGGCUGGAGCAGCCACUCGAGCAUUGGCGCUGAAGGCCUCUCGCCGCCAAUCCACAGGAGCCAGCCGCCAGGACCAGUCAUCUUCAAGCGGCAACAGGAACAGGGCAGCCACCGUAUUGACCCAGUGGACGCUGUGAUCCCUGGCUGGAGCAGCAACUCAAGUGCUGGGCGCCGAGAGUCCGCCAACAGGGCGGUCGGCGCUGGAGUUCCCGCCGCCAGUCCACAGGAAUUAGCCGCCAGGACCAGGAGCAGCUGUCCUCUCAGGAAUAAUGACAGCAGAGCUGCCGCACAGUAUGCGGAGAAGCAGUCCACCUCCAACGACGAAGCAUCUAAUUGGAACAGGUCCGUCAUCGCAGCAGACGUGUGGCCCCGGACACCAGAGGCCGAAUCAGCUGCCAAGUGGCGGUCGCCCGAGGCCGCACCAGAAGCAGCCGGCGCAGGCACAUGUGUUAUUGACUGUGUAAUGAAGACAAUCAAGCAGCCGACGGAAGCAUGGGAGCCGACAACCAUAGAAUUGCAGUGGCCAAUGGAACCGGUAGCAGCAUCAGGCAUUGGCCGCAAAGCGGCAGUCACACCACGCUGCAAACAAACUGCAGCAGAAGCAGGCUGUGAAGCCACCCGGAGACCAGCACCCGGAGCAGGCCGCAAACUGCAGGCACUGCGUCCUUCAAGUAGCAGCCAAAUUUAGGAACAGCAGCCGACGCCAAUCAGCAGCCCCAAGCAGCAGCCAUCGAAGCGCCUCGCCCUUCGUAUGCGACCCAGUUCAGCGCCGCCCUGUGCAAAGGCCAGCAUUCUAGCAUCAGUCAGUGGCAGAACAUGAUCCGGCGGUUCAGCGCCGCCUUGCGUUGGAGGAGCUGCAGGACCGGAGCGGCAGGCAGGUCGGCUGCAGUCACGUGAAGAGGCAUACAAGCCGCAGCAGGAUCGGGCUGGUGAGGCCACCCGGAGCGGGCCGCUAGUUGCAGGCCCUGCGUUUCCAUUUCUUCUUUCCCUCAAGCUGCAGCCAAGCUCAGGAGCAGCAGCCGCGUGCAGCCAUCCAGCAAUCGACUCCAAACAGCAGCCCCAUGCAACAGCCAACGAAGCGCCUCGCCUCUCGCAUGCGGUUCGCCCGUCAAUAACAGCAGGAAAACAUCCGUGCCAUUCAGCGCACUGACGAUCGCCCAGAACAGCUUAUGCAUGUUGCAGUGACCU
Drosophila elegans is the source of this 1362-nucleotide RNA transcript. RefSeq lists it as uncharacterized. The transcript is spliced from 3 exons. NCBI's taxonomy places the organism in Eukaryota, Metazoa, Arthropoda, Insecta, Diptera, Drosophilidae. The record is from RefSeq and is a predicted model, not a curated record.